Molecule: ribosomal RNA, 507 nt
Filed under: uncultured Scutellospora
Lineage: Eukaryota; Fungi; Glomeromycota; Glomeromycetes; Diversisporales; Gigasporaceae
Description: SSU rRNA
Rfam family: Eukaryotic small subunit ribosomal RNA
Source: RNAcentral
AGCAGCCGCGGUAAUUCCAGCUCCAAUAGCGUAUAUUAAAGUUGUUGCAGUUAAAAAGCUCGUAGUUGAAUUUCGGGNUUCUACCGUUGGUCGGGCUAACAAGUCUGUACUAGCGUGUAGAAUUUCUACCUUCUGGGGAACCAUCAUGUUAUUAAUUUAGCGUGGUGGGAAACCAGGACCUUUACCUUGAAAAAAUUAGAGUGUUCAAAGCAGGCUUACGUCUGAAUACAUUAGCAUGGAAUAAUAGAAUAGGACGGUGGUCCUGUUUUGUUGGUUUCUGAAUCACCGUAAUGAUUAAUAGGGAUAGUUGGGGGCAUUAGUAUUCAAUUGUCAGAGGUGAAAUUCUUGGAUUUAUUGAAGACUAACUUCUGCGAAAGCAUUUGCCAAGGAUGUUUUCAUUAAUCAAGAACGAAAGUUAGGGGAUCGAAGACGAUCAGAUACCGUCGUAGUCUUAACCAUAAACUAUGCCGACUAGGGAUCGGACGAUGUUAAAUUUUAUUGACUCGU